This 82-nucleotide transfer RNA is filed under the name Auriscalpium vulgare. RNAcentral describes it as "tRNA-Gly". The record is from RNAcentral. Lineage: Eukaryota; Fungi; Basidiomycota; Agaricomycetes; Russulales; Auriscalpiaceae.
GCAUUGCUGGGGUAGUGGUAACCUGGGUCGUUGCCAUCUCGUCUAGCUCGACCCGCCCCGUGUUCGAUUCACGGGCAAUGCA